GAUGAACGCUGGCGGCGUGCCUAAUACAUGCAAGUCGAGCGAAAGGACCAUACUCUUGUUGCUCUCAUGUUAGCGGCAGGGGGGUGUGUCACGUGUGUAUACCCUCCCUAUCUGUCUGGGAUCAUUUCGAGAAACCGGAUCUAAUACCGGAUAAUAUUUUGAUCCACAUUGGUCAAUAGAGAAUGACGGUCUUUCUGUAAGUUCUCGAUGCAUCUGCGCUGCAUUGGCUAGUUGGUAAGGUAACGGCUUACCAAGGCCACGAUGCAUAGCCGACGUGAGAGGGUGAUCGGCCACCCGGGAACGGGAACACGGUCCAUACGCCUAAGGGAGGCAGCAGUAGGGAAUCUUCCGCAAUAGUCGAAAGCCUGACGCAGCAGCGCCGCGCGAGUGAUGACGGUCUUCGGAUCGUAAAACUCUGUUAUGAGGGAAGAACAUAUGUGUAAGUAAAUGUGCACAUCUUGACGGUACCUAAUCAGAAAGCCACGGCUAACUACGUG
Molecule: ribosomal RNA, 497 nt
Filed under: uncultured bacterium
Lineage: Bacteria
Description: partial 16S ribosomal RNA
Rfam family: Bacterial small subunit ribosomal RNA
Source: RNAcentral